GACGAACGCUGGCGGCGUGCCUAAUACAUGCAAGUUGAGCGCUGAAGGUUGGUACUUGUACCGACUGGAUGAGCAGCGAACGGGUGAGUAACGCGUGGGGAAUCUGCCUUUGAGCGGGGGACAACAUUUGGAAACGAAUGCUAAUACCGCAUAAAAACUUUAAACACAAGUUUUAAGUUUGAAAGAUGCAAUUGCAUCACUCAAAGAUGAUCCCGCGUUGUACUAGCUAGUUGGUGAGGUAAAGGCUCACCAAGGCGAUGAUACAUAGCCGACCUGAGAGGGUGAUCGGCCACAUUGGGACUGGGACACGGCCCAAACUCCUACGGGAGGCAGCAGUAGGGAAUCUUCGGCAAUGGACGAAAGUCUGACCGAGCAACGCCGCGUGAGUGAAGAAGGUUUUCGGAUCGUAAAACUCUGUUGGUAGAGAAGAACGUUGGUGAGAGUGGAAAGCUCAUCAAGUGACGGUAACUACCCAGAAAGGGACGGCUAACUACGUG
This 497-nucleotide ribosomal RNA is filed under the name uncultured bacterium. RNAcentral's name for it is "partial 16S ribosomal RNA". It matches the Rfam family "Bacterial small subunit ribosomal RNA", at positions 28 to 507 of the family's 1533-position model. The record is from RNAcentral.